Molecule: ribosomal RNA, 402 nt
Filed under: Triticum aestivum (bread wheat)
Lineage: Eukaryota; Viridiplantae; Streptophyta; Magnoliopsida; Poales; Poaceae
Description: partial small subunit ribosomal RNA
Source: RNAcentral
AUGAAUCAGAGACUUAAUCUUGAUAUACCUCAGAACAAUACAUUCUUGUUACCACGAGAUGUAUUGGCCGCUAUGGAUCAUUUGAUUGGAAUGAAAUUUGGAACGGGUAUACUUGACGAUGACGAUAUGAAUCACUUGAAAAAUAAAUGUAUUCGUUCAGUUGCGGAUCUGUUACAAGAUCAAUUCGGAUUGGCUCUUGGUCGUUUACAACAUGUAGUUCAAAAAACUAUUCGUAGAGUAUUCUUACGUCAAUCGAAACCGACUCCCCAAACUUUGGUAACUCCAAGCGCGGCCACGCCUACUCCGACGACUAGGCGAGGGGAUGGGGAGGCUAGGUGGGUAGUGGGGAGGCCUCUGGUGGCUACAGAAAGGAGGGGGAGAGUUGGCAUCGAGCCAAUUUGA